UACAGAGGUGGCAAGCGUUGUUCGGAAUUACUGGGCGUAAAGGGCGCGUAGGCGGUUCGGUAAGUCCUGUGUGAAAUCCCUCGGCUCAACUGAGGAACUGCACGGGAGACUGCCGGGCUUGAGUUCGGGAGAGGGAAGCGGAAUUCCGGGUGUAGCGGUGAAAUGCGUAGAUAUCCGGAGGAACACCGGUGGCGAAGGCGGCUUCCUGGACCGACACUGACGCUGAGGCGCGAAAGCGUGGGGAGCAAACAGG
RNAcentral lists this ribosomal RNA (253 nucleotides) under uncultured bacterium. RNAcentral's name for it is "partial 16S ribosomal RNA". It matches the Rfam family "Bacterial small subunit ribosomal RNA", at positions 524 to 776 of the family's 1533-position model. The record is from RNAcentral.